Molecule: non-coding RNA, 1730 nt
Organism: Malus domestica (apple)
Lineage: Eukaryota; Viridiplantae; Streptophyta; Magnoliopsida; Rosales; Rosaceae
Source: RefSeq, a predicted model, not a curated record
AACACAAUCUACAAAAAAACUUAGAUGAAACUGAAUGCAUUUGGAGAUCUUACUCUUACCGUAUUAGUUUUCAAAUCCCGAUUGACAUCCUCAUCCAAGAAUAAUUUAUUGCAUUUUAUGAGCUCUUCAAUACAUUGUUCAUGAACAAUCGCCCUACCCAUUUCUUGUAACAAGCUAUGCACCUCCAAGCAGUUAUUUGAUGAAAUUGAUAUGAGAGACUUAUCAAUCAAAACUCCGAUUCCAGCUGCACGAAAGCCACAUAUCUAGCAUUUCUUUUACAAUGUACACAUCUUUCCCUUGAUAGAAACAUGCUAUAUCAAGAAAUAUCUCCUUCUCAAUUUCUUUUAAUCCAUCGUAACUUGAUCUUCUCAGCACAUUCCAGAUCUUUUCUCUUGGAAAUUCUUUCCAUUCAUCCAGCCAAUCUUCUUUGCUCUCACAGUGAAGGAAUGAGGAACCCAAAAUUUUAAGAGCUAAUGGAAUGCCUCCAGCAUAUUCUACCACAAGUUUGGACAACUCGGGCCAAACAGAGCAGGAUCGCCAGCUAGAAAAAUUAAUUGGUUUGAAUCAUUUACAUCAUCAAGAACAAUGAGGAUCUUCGUACCUGCCAUCCUCUUUUUAACAAGAUCUGAUCCUAUAGUUGGAGUGCCGAUAUUUAUAUCUUUUUCCUUCAAUAUCUUUCUAAGAAGUGUGUUUCGCAAGUGAAUUAGUCCAUCUUUUUUUCUUAUUUCUCCCUAACAUUUCCAAGAAAACAAGACGAGAGUCGGUGAAACACAGAAUCAGCAAGGGCGGUCUUGCCAAUGCCACCCAUGCCCCAAAUACCUAGAGUGUAUACAUCAAGUGAAUCAAUGCAUAAUGAUGACUCAAUUUGGUCAAUGCGUUUUUCUAUUCCAACAAAGCCCUGUAAAACACUUGAAGAUUUUCGAUUCAAUUGGCUCCAAAUUUCAUUUGCAACUUUCUUAACUAAAUUGGCCUCCGUCCUGGCAAAUAUAUGAUGGACAACUAACAGUUGGUAAUAGGCAUUGUUAAUUAAUUCUGUAUGCAUUUAAUUUUCAUGAGUAGAAAUCACUAAAAGUUUUAGAAUUAGUUACCCUGUUUUGUUUGAGAAGCUAGAAAGAUUAGCUGCAGCCGUCAAAGCAGCCCUCCACGCGUUCACCUUGUCGAUAGUGCCCUUGAAACGUUUUUCAAGUUGAGCAAACGCAACUUCAUAACUCCCCUUUUGUAUUUGUACCGUUGAUGGACUAGUGCCGUAGAAAAUGGGUAUAACCAACUGGCCAUAUUUUUCCCUGCAGUGUAGUAUAUGUGCAAGUUCAUCCAAACACAAGUCAACGCCAAGACAUAUUGCGUUUACAUCAGCAAAAGGAUCAGAAGAUUGAAGUCAUGUAAGCCGAUCCCAGACAAUCUUGUCGACCUCUUCACGACAUCACUGCCGAAGUCAACCUUCCAGAAGCUUGUUCGAGGAAUUUGUAUGCCUAAUUAUUCAUAUGCAAUGCUUGUAGUUCUCAUUUAGAAGUUCUGUCAAACUCAGGGGGAGUAUCCAAAAGUAUACUCACUUGAUAUUAAUGUACUCUUUUUCCUUAUGAUUAUGAGCAUUUUUUCCACUGGAUUUUUGCUACCUAACUAGGUUUUGACGAGGCACCUAUCCUAGGCUGAUCAUACCUUUGUGAGCUCUUCUACUUGCGUUUAGAAGACGUAUAAUUUUGACUUAAUGCAACUUCUCACUUUUUUCCUUA